Molecule: long non-coding RNA, 1051 nt
Organism: Scylla paramamosain (green mud crab)
Lineage: Eukaryota; Metazoa; Arthropoda; Malacostraca; Decapoda; Portunidae
Exons: 3
Source: RefSeq, a predicted model, not a curated record
GAUGCAGCAGUGAUGAUCGAGCAGUGGGAGGGAGAGGUUGUGUGUGUCCGUCCAGAAAUGGUGAUGUGAUCUGAGUGCUUUCACAAUACAGUGCCUGGUGAUAGUGGUGUGUUAUUGUGAUUAUAUGAGCCACUGUGGUGUGUUGUGAGUGGCAAUAGUGAACGCUUUGGAUGUACAAGUGCUUAACGACCCAAUCACCAUUACCUUCAUCUUUGCUAUGAACAUGAGAGGCUGCGGGCGUCCGUGAUGGUGGGCGUGCCUGGCGGAGCAGCUGGUGGAGGCGUGGGUGUGGGAGUGGGUGUGGGCGGGGAGGGCGUGGGCGGGGGCGAGGGAGAGGCGCUGCGGAGGGCGGCGGCGGAAGGAAACACUGGGAAGCUUCUGGCGCUGCUGGAGGAGGGCGCGUCUGUCAACAAGAGUGACGAGUGUGGAAGAACGCCCCUGCACUGGGCUUGCUCGCGCCGCCAAGCCAAUGCGGUCGCCAGCCUUCUACUCAACGGUGCCAAGGUCAACUCAGCGGACAGUGUAAGUACCUGGAGAGAAAAUUGGUUGGUUGAAGAUGUUAGUGGUCGUACAAGGAGGUCAUUUGGUGUCUGCAGAAAAUGGAGAGUGAGGAGAUGGAAGGAAAGAAAAUGGAGAGUGAAACAUAUUAAGGUAUUGAUAUGGAAGGCAAAUUAAUUGAUUGCUGAUUUGGGCACUACGAAAAUGGGUGUAAUUUGGUGUCCGGAGAAAAUGGAAAGUAAGGAGAUGGAUGGAAAGGAAAAUGAUGGAGGGUGAAAAGUGGUAAGGGAGAGAGAUGGAAGGAAAUGUGAGAAGUAGGCGUUGAGAGAAAGGAGAAAAGAAAAUGAGAAGAGUGAAGGGAAGAAAUACGAGAAGGGAAUCACGUAAGAGGUAAAAAAAAAUUAAGCUCUUAUUUGCUCUUCCUUUGUGUUCUUUUUUUUUUUACCGGAUGAGAAUGGAAGGAAAAAGAAAAAUAGGAAAGAACAGAAAGAUAGAGAAGAACAGAUAAAUAUAAGCAAGAGAGGAAGAGAGGAUGAUAACCAUAAAAGGCAGG